RNAcentral lists this unclassified non-coding RNA (625 nucleotides) under Hevea brasiliensis (rubber tree). The record is from RNAcentral. Lineage: Eukaryota; Viridiplantae; Streptophyta; Magnoliopsida; Malpighiales; Euphorbiaceae.
AUUUUCUUCUGCUGCCUGCUUCAACAAGAUUGGCAGGGGAGUUCUUUUUUCUGUGGGUUGACCUGCUUUUCUUUCUGUUGAAACAAAAACACUGGUGUAAUGACUUGUUUUGGUCUCUGCUUAGGAGGGAAGGCAUCUCCCCGUCACAACCAUGUAGUAGAAAUUGAUGAAGAAAUUUCAACCAUUGAGAAUGCAAGGGUGUACAGCUACCGGGAAUUGCGUGCUGCAACCGAAGAUUUUUGCCCUGUAAACAAAAUAGGGAAAGGAGGGUUUGGUUCUGUCUACAAGGGGAGGCUAAGAGAUGGAAAAAUGGCUGCUAUUAAGGUACUUUCUGUUGAAUCAAAACAAGGUGUAAAGGAGUUUUUGACAGAAAUAAAGGUGAUCUCAAAUAUAGAACAUGAAAACCUGGUGAAUUUGUACGGUUGUUGUGCGGAAGGGGAUCAUAGAAUAUUGGUGUAUAACUACCUGGAAAAUAAUAGUCUUUCCCAAACUCUGCUUGGUGGUGCACAUAGUAGCCUCCAGUUUAGCUGGAUAACACGAACUAAGAUAUGCAUUGGUGUUGCACGAGGACUUGCAUUCCUCCACGAAGAAGUCCAGCCUUAUAUAGUUCAUAGAGACAUUAAAG